AUUGAACGCUGGCGGCAGGCCUAACACAUGCAAGUCGAACGAGUGGCGGACGGGUGAGUAAUGUCUGGGAAACUGACUGAUGGAGGGGGAUAACUACUGGAAACGGUAGCUAAUACCGCAUACCAUCAGAUGUGCCCAGAUGGGAUUAGCUUGUUGGUGGGGUAACGGCUCACCAAGGGGACGAUCCCUAGAUGGUAUGAGAGGAUGACCAGCCACACUGGAACUGAGACACGGUCCAUACUCCUACGCGUGGAAGUAGUGGGAAAUAGUGCACAAUGGGUGCAAGCCUGAUGCAGCCAUGCCGCGUGUAUGAAGAAGGCCUUCUGGUUGUAAAGUACGUUCAGCGGGGAGGCGUUACCCGCAGAAGAAGCACCGGCUAACUCCGUGCCAGCAGCCGCGGUAAUAC
This 406-nucleotide ribosomal RNA is filed under the name uncultured bacterium. Its description in RNAcentral is "partial 16S ribosomal RNA". It matches the Rfam family "Bacterial small subunit ribosomal RNA", at positions 30 to 526 of the family's 1533-position model. The record is from RNAcentral.